CAUUUUCGUUCCAUCCUUCUAUUUUUUUUUUAUCCUCACGGAUUAUUCCGGCCCAGGUNGUAGGUUUCGAAACGAGCUUUCCGAACAGUAUUCACGGGCCUUGUGAAUCCAUCGGGAUCGAAAGUUAGGCACGUGAANGUAGAGACGCGCGAAUUCCGAUUACCAUGCAAUUUUCAUUUUCGUAUUUUGUCGUACGUGAGUAGUACUCCGUUAAUUGAGUCGGGGUCGGGAAAUUGCGUGAAUUGAGUCUCUUAAAAGUCGGAGGUUGGAC
This 271-nucleotide unclassified non-coding RNA is filed under the name Melaleuca trichostachya. The record is from RNAcentral. Lineage: Eukaryota; Viridiplantae; Streptophyta; Magnoliopsida; Myrtales; Myrtaceae.